RNAcentral lists this long non-coding RNA (1913 nucleotides) under Malus domestica (apple). RNAcentral describes it as "long non-coding RNA (MDOM_LNC019705)". The record is from RNAcentral. Lineage: Eukaryota; Viridiplantae; Streptophyta; Magnoliopsida; Rosales; Rosaceae.
UUUCUUGUAGGCACAUAAUAUUUAUCCUUCUCCUCACCAUAACUUCCACUACUUCCAUAGAUUUUCCCGUUAAGGUUCCUAUAUUCCACGUUCCUAAAUGCAUUUUGCUCUCUUGAACUCUACCCUUCUGUCCUAGCUUCUUCACCCUCCCCCGUCUAAUAGGAUCAAAGUACUUCUUUUGUGUGUCCCGGGUAAAGUUGAUAGGAGCAUAUGCUCCCAAACAACUUUGAAUGGAGUCGUUCGAAAAGAAGUUUCUAUGGCCCCCUUGCUCAUUUAACACUGCAUCGGGUGCCGAUGGAGAUACAGCGACCCUUGCUCACUUAUCACUGUGCUCGGGCCACACAGCGCGCCACUUACGGGUGACGCCCUAGCUUUAGCGCGAUUUUGUUAUGGAUUCAUUUUCAUAAGGAUUCGACGUGAUCAUGGAGUGCCGGCUGUCGACUACCUGACGCCCUCCCCCUCCUCCUUUAUCCGGGCUUGGGACCGGCCAUGUAAGACAUAGGCGGAGUUAAAACAAGCCACAAAACAAGGAAACAUAAUCCUCAUCAUGAUGUUCCCUCAUCAAUUUUCUUUCAUUCUUUUGUUUUGUUUCCUAGCCUAAUUUGGCCACUAUCCAACAAUCUCCACCUUGGCCAAAUUCUGAAAACAUCACAGAGAAUCAAAUCAACAAUCACCAUAAUCACCCAAAGUACAAACUAAAGACAACGGGAACUAAAUCAAAUUCCCCAAACUUUCCGGUACUCAAAAUGAUCUCCACCUCGACUCAAAAUGUACCAAAGACAACAAAAGUAGACCAUUUCUCUACCGUCUUCUCCAAAUUUGCAAACCAUAAGUGCCUUGAUCAAAACAAAAGGUGAUUCAAACGAAGAACUGAAAUUAUUCAAUAUCACCAACAAAAGAUCAAGUACACCAUACCAAAGUUAGACACACAAUGAACUCCACCUGCUCACAAACACCAUGGUCUUAAACUGCACCAAUAGACUCAUUCACAUAGCAUGGCACAUUCUCCAAGUCAAAACUGAUUACAAAUUUGGCAACAAAGUCUCACAUACCACAUACGAAAAUAUGCCCUUCACUCAAGUUUACCAUCAUCACAUGAGCACCAACAGGACAACCAAAAUUUCAAAUUCAAAAAAUCAGCAGGAGAUCCAAAACCAUACCUCAACUGGAGUCUUCAAGAAAACUAAUUGCAGAUGAUGGAGACCAACAGACCAAAUAGCAGUGGCAAACAAAUCCAACCAAAUGUCCAUAGCCCAAACAAAGUUAGAAAGCAUAUAACUUGCCUUCUACACGAGGGUUCCACACAAAUGUUCUGCAGUGCAUGUGGUGUAUCCAAAAUAGUGUGGUGCCUCACUAUCCAAACUUGCAGAACUCAACAAAUUGGCCCUCACUGAAUUCAACUUUACCAAAAAAAGAAAAACCAUACCAAUAUCCAAAACAAUAAAAACACCGAUGAAGAGCAACUAACAUAACACAAACAUACAUAGAGGCUACUAAGCAACUUUCUCAAAUCAUAACAAAGAAUCUUUACAAACUCUUAAAUCUCCAUAUGUAGCGGAGAGAUUUAAGAGUACCCACAACACCAGAUUCCUUUUUUUUUUUUUUUUUUUUAAUUUCAAAUCUGGUGUAGCCAACUGUCAUCAUAGAACAAAGUCGAAGUCGUCAUCGACAACAUUCGCACUCGCACCAGCAUUAUCUUUCAGUUUUGGACAAUCAACUUUCCAAUGCCCUUCCUUGCGACAAUAGUUGCAUGUGUUGUUUCUGGUCUUAGACUUCGAUCUCAAAUUUCCUUUAUUACUCCCUGAACCAUAUUCCCUAUCUCUGCCUCUUGCUAUCAAAGCCUCAAAAUGAGAAUCAUUCAAAUUUCCAAAUACUUUGUUCUUUAACUCUCUUGAAUUCAAAGCGGCUUUUAC